CUCAAUCUGCUGUGGGCAGAUCCAGUGGAUAUGUGUAUCAAUACCACCGGCUGUAACGAUAAGUCCCUCUGCAGCAAGUGCCUCUGUAGCUGCACCAACUGUCAUUCCCGGUGUUACGCCUGCCUGUGUUCCCGGGUUACCUGCUUUACCGAUACCAGCGAUGUAACCAUCUUUGAUACCGAUAUCUGCCUUGUAGAUUCCUGUAUAGUCAAGGAUAAGGCAGUUUGUGAUAACGAGAUCAAGGUCUCCGUCAGCACUUGUUGUAGUAACUGAGCAUCCCAUACCGUCAC
RNAcentral lists this small RNA (290 nucleotides) under bovine gut metagenome. Its description in RNAcentral is "5' ureB small RNA". It matches the Rfam family "5' ureB small RNA". The record is from RNAcentral.